AGUGAACGCUGGCGGUAGGCCUAACACAUGCAAGUCGAACGGCAGCACAGUAAGAGCUUGCUCUUACGGGUGGCGAGUGGCGGACGGGUGAGGAAUACAUCGGAAUCUACUUUUUCGUGGGGGAUAACGUAGGGAAACUUGCGCUAAUACCGCAUACGACCUACGGGUGAAAGCAGGGGAUCUUCGGACCUUGCGCGAUUGAAUGAGCCGAUGUCGGAUUAGCUAGUUGGCGGGGUAAAGGCCCACCAAGGCGACGAUCCGUAGCUGGUCUGAGAGGAUGAUCAGCCACACUGGAACUGAGACACGGUCCAGACUCCUACGGGAGGCAGCAGUGGGGAAUAUUGGACAAUGGGCGCAAGCCUGAUCCAGACAUACCGCGUGGGUGAAGAAGGCCUUCGGGUUGUAAAGCCCUUUUGUUGGGAAAGAAAAGCAGCAGGUUAAUACCCCGCUGUUCUGACGGUACCCAAAGAAUAAGCACCGGCUAACUUCGUG
RNAcentral lists this ribosomal RNA (492 nucleotides) under uncultured bacterium. RNAcentral describes it as "partial 16S ribosomal RNA". It matches the Rfam family "Bacterial small subunit ribosomal RNA", at positions 29 to 507 of the family's 1533-position model. The record is from RNAcentral.